This 484-nucleotide ribosomal RNA is filed under the name uncultured bacterium. RNAcentral's name for it is "partial 16S ribosomal RNA". It matches the Rfam family "Bacterial small subunit ribosomal RNA", at positions 30 to 507 of the family's 1533-position model. The record is from RNAcentral.
AUUGAACGCUGGCGGAAUGCUUUACACAUGCAAGUCGAGCGGCAGCACGGGGGCAACCCUGGUGGCGAGCGGCGAACGGGUGAGUAAUACAUCGAAACAUGCCCAGUCGUGGGGGAUAACACUUCGAAAGAAGUGCUAAUACCGCAUACGUCCUGAGGGAGAAAGCGGGGGAUCGCAAGACCUCGCGCGAUUGGAGUGGCCGAUGUCAGGUUAGCUAGUUGGUGGGGUAAAGGCCUACCAAGGCAACGAUCUGUAGCUGGUCUGAGAGGAUGAUCAGCCACACUGGGACUGAGACACGGCCCAGACUCCUACGGGAGGCAGCAGUGGGGAAUUUUGGACAAUGGGGGCAACCCUGAUCCAGCCAUUCCGCGUGAGUGAAGAAGGCCUUCGGGUUGUAAAGCUCUUUCGGCAGGAACGAAACGGCGAGCUCUAACAUAGCUUGCUAAUGACGGUACCUGAAGAAGAAGCACCGGCUAACUACGUG